Molecule: long non-coding RNA, 827 nt
Organism: Ostrea edulis (European flat oyster)
Lineage: Eukaryota; Metazoa; Mollusca; Bivalvia; Ostreida; Ostreidae
Exons: 2
Source: RefSeq, a predicted model, not a curated record
AAAAAAAGAAGAAUAUUUAGCAGAGAAAAUACCAGCAAACACUGUCAUGCCAUGGAUAUGCAGACAACUUGAUUGACGAAUUCCUAACUCGUCAUAAAUCAAUUCCUGAAUCUGCACCAUUGAUGAGGAGAAUAGUGAUUUGGACAUAAGACAUUCAAUCGACAGAGCUCACAAUGAGGAUCUCGGGAAGAAAAUAAGGAAAUUUGGAGAAACCUUUGCACAGAAAACAGCGAUGAAAACAGCGUGCAAUGGAUAUAAUGUCAUGUAGAGUUUGAAAGAAAAAGUAUUUAAAAAAUCUUGCACAUGUGGAGAGAACUGUCUAGGUCAUGACAAUUCAAAAGAAGUACAAAAUUCCAUCUUGACUACCAAUGAAUUAUCAAAAGAUAGAGAUAUGAUUAUUAUUGGUAAACUUUCAGAGUUUUGGCAGCAGUAUACAGUCCCCCCCCCCCACGGUUUUUGCAGGACCACAAUGGAAACUAGCUAUAUGCUAAUUUGUGUCAUCCUGGAUAAAUAAAGGCUAUUAUUACAGUGUGAAGUCUUUUUCGGGUCAUAGAUGUUGUGGAAAGUCCAACAUCUUCAUCAUAAUUAUACACUAAUGAUACAGACGAAUAUUCUUGUAUUUCUUUAAAACUAUAGUUUGAGUUUUCUUUUAUUUGAGCAAUCAAAAUUUUAGUAAAAUCUCAACCUUAAGUCGAAGUUUCGACAUAAUAUGGAAGUUUUCUUCGAGAAAUCCAGGUGAAAUUUCAUGAAAGUGGUAUGACUGAAAGACAUUUACCAUUACCUUGAAUUCUGCUUCUGAAUCAUGGCCGUCAAAGGCAUACGAAAAA